GACGAACGCUGGCGGCGUGCUUAACACAUGCAAGUCGAACGGAAAGGCCCUGCUUUUGUGGGGUGCUCGAGUGGCGAACGGGUGAGUAUCACGUGAGUAACCUGCCCUUGACUUUGGGAUAACUUCAGGAAACUGGGGCUAAUACCGGAUAGGAGAUCCUGCUGCAUGGUGGGGGUUGGAAAGUUUCGGCGGUUGGGGAUGGACUCGCGGCUUAUCAGCUUGUUGGUGGGGUAGUGGCUUACCAAGGGUUUGACGGGUAGGCGGCCUGUGAGGGUGACCGGCCACAUUGGGACUGAGGUACGGCCCAGACUCCUACGGGAGGCAGCAGUGGGGAAUAUUACACAAUGGGCGGAAGCCUGAUGCAGCAACGCCGCGUGCGGAAUGACGGCCUUCGGGUUGUAAACCGCUUUCGCCUGUGACGAAGCGGGAGUGACGGUAACGAGUAAAGAAGCACCGGCUAACUACGUG
This 468-nucleotide ribosomal RNA is filed under the name uncultured bacterium. RNAcentral describes it as "partial 16S ribosomal RNA". It matches the Rfam family "Bacterial small subunit ribosomal RNA", at positions 28 to 507 of the family's 1533-position model. The record is from RNAcentral.